UUUUUUUCUUCUUUUCUACGGGGUAGAUUUAUGUCUCCCGACUAUGUAAUUCUUCGUAGCGUAAAAAAACUAAUUGCUUAAUUAGUUUUGCCUCGACUGGACUUGGUCUUAAUUUUGUUGAAUGAAAUUCGGAGUACUACAACCACACACUCAUUAACUUUUACGUUGAAAUAUUCAUGUAGGAGCGCGGAUUAUAAAAGUUCUGGGUAGCCAACCACACAUAGAAAUAAACAUCAGAAGAAACUGCGGGUUGAGAGAAGCUUCUCUUGGUUCAGUAAUUUCUUGGUUUUAUCUGUGACAAUACAGAAGUAAAGGAAAGUCGCAUGGAUUCCGAGAGGUUUCUUAUGAAGGUGACAAUGAUAAGCAUCCAAAACUUCAUUAAUGUGAGGGUGGCUCAUUGUCUCCUCUUCGGGUAAUAACAGCAAGUACCAGAGCAAGAUAGCUUUGAAUACUAAAUGCCACGUACUUACAAUUUCUCGCAUGCCAGCGAAGGUGGCACAUUGUCUCUCCUAUAAUAGUCCUCGGCAUUUGCUAAUGGAGAGAAGACCACAACUGCCUUCCACCUUUUCUUUAUGGUUUUCUUGUUACCAGUUACUAGCUACAGUAAUAUUGUAUGUAGACGUGCACACAAUAUUAGAUUUGGAUUUGGAUUUGUAUAAUUGCAUUGCAUUGAAUAUGAUUUGGGACCAUAACUUACCUACAACAGACUACAUACAAGUACAACAUUUACAGUUUCUUAGUUAAUUAACCUGUUUUCUAUUAUAUUUAUUUUAAAAAUUAGCUUAUCGUGGUAUACAAUUUGGUUUUUAUGAGGGUUGCAUGCACUCUGUUAGUUUGUUGGAUACAAGUUUCUCUCUUUAUAUAGAUAGCACUGAAAAAUUCAUAACAAUGUGAUUUUUUUCUACUUGCUGUUUGCUAGGUCAUUCAUUUUAUCAUUGAAUCGAAAGAAAAAAGUAAAGCCUUAAAUCAAGUAUGCCUAAACAUUCUAAUCCAAAUUAUAUAUUUUGUAUUUAAUUUUCACGCACCUUGAUCUAUUUAUUUAUGCCUCUUUUUUUUUUCUUUGAUUUAUUUAUUUAUAAUUUGACGGCCAAAAAUGAAUAUGAAUGUGUAAACAAAUUUUGUGGAAAUAAUUUCUCUUUAAAAAAAAAAUCCAUUCUGAAAUAUGUCUCUGGUCUUUGAACAAUAGAAGCAGAGCCUGUUAAUUGAGAUGGGCUUGGUCAUCUUGCUCAAACCCUAAUAGGACUUAACGGUCAAAUAGGAAACAAAACAAACAAUUAAGUUUCAAAAGUAUCCUUAAAACUUAGAACGCUGUUUUGGUUAUCUUUUGAAGAAAAUUAAUGAAAAUGGUUUGAUAACUUUGAGUUUUAAUGAUAAGAACAAAAUAAAGGGUAAAGUGAAUAGUACCAGGUUUGACUUUUUAAUGUAAAAAUAUGAUUUUUCGUUAAAGUGAACAGUACCGUAGGCUUUUCGUUAAAACUCUCUAUCUUUUGUUUAUUAUCAAUCACACACAAGUUUAUGAUCUCUCUUUCUUCCUGGUUAAUUCUAAAUUUUGCUACUUGUUUCUAGCCAAAUAUUAUUGUUCAGUUCUCCUUUUUAUAUCCCGUUGCAUCAACUUUAAGUUACAAUCUGGUAAACUAAACCUGAAUUGCAAUAUCACAUGGAAUGACGAGUGUUCCUCACAGAUACAAAAUUCAGAUCCUUCACUUCUCCAACAAGUAAUCUUGUGACCCUGUUGAGAAGUUAUAGACGCCAUCUUAGUUUGCUCUCAAUAAAGGGGUGUACCAUGUACUUGCAAAAGGCACUUCGAUCUCAGGUGAGUGGUUGAGAUGAAUUCAGUAGAAUCUAGAAUAAUUUUGAACCUCUUGUGAGUGGUUGAGAUGGAUUCAGUGGAAUCUAGAUUAAUUUUAUAUCUAUUUUCAUUAUCUUUAAUUGGCAAUGAUCAUUCUUGUUUGGUACUCGGUCAAUUGGUUUAUAUGACAGGACCUUGGUGUUGCCAAAACAGGGUCUGGAAAGAAACUUGCUUUUGGUUUGCCCAUUUUGCAACGCUUGUUGGAUGAACUACAAGGGUUUGUAUAUCAAAUACCUGAAGUUCCCCUAAGUUGUAUGUCUGAAAUAAAAGUCCCACGAUUUAGAGGAAAAUGAUUGUGUAAGUCUUAUGUGUUACAUGUGCUUGGCGGCAGAGCAUACAUAGCGCCUAAGUAAAUUUGAAGAGAGGCCAAUACAAUUGGAAGACCCUUGAUAAUGGCCAAACAAGAAGCCUGGAAUUCUAGUGCACACAUGUUUAAGCCCGACUUAUGAGCCUAAAAGCUUGAAAGAGAUAUAUCUCUUUAAUAGUGUUAGAACUGAUAACAUCAGCCCUUAAAUAUGUUAUUCCCUUUGUCUUAACAUUUUAUGUUCCUUGUAGAUAAGUAUCGUUAUAAAAGUGUUAUGGGCUUUUUCUUUGUUAACUUAUAUAUAAUUAGUUACUUUGAAUAUAUAAUUUGUUGGAAAUUUUGAGUAGAGAAUUUCAUUGUCUCACAUUGCUCACCACUAUAAGGUUUCAUCACUUUAUAAGGCUUUGUCCCUUAUAGAAAGUGAUUAAAGUGAUGGACCUUGGAGAUUAAAAUUGGGCUCACCCCAUCUGAAGAGAUGUCUCCCAACAAUCACAUCUCAUUCUUAUACCUGUUGCGAACAUAGCAUUCUUAUUGAGAGUACAAAUUUGUCAGAAGCAAUCAUACUUAUUCCCAAUUCUUCAUGUAAUUCGAUGAUCAAAUUGUCGUCUUCUUCGAGAGUAGUUUCCCAUUUUACACCCAGUUGAAGCUCGUUCGUCCAUCUUAGUUUGCAACUUUUGCCACACCUUACUAAACUUGCAGUGAAAUUAUAUGUGUUGAUGCACAAAAUCGGGUUGAUUUUGGACUAACGUAAAUCCGACUGUGAAUCACACAAACGCACAAAAACGCAAAGAUAUAUUGUGGUUCACCUCAAGUUGAGGCUACGUCCACACUGAUGUUGAUUCUGUUUCACUAUGUAAAUGAAUGUUGAAUAUACAUGGAGGCUAUAGAGGCAGUGUUUGCUCUCUUUGCUAUUCUGUUUGCUCUUCCGUUUCCUCUCUGUCUGUUUCCCUUCUUUCCUCAUCGAGUCUCGUCCCUUAAGUGAGUGUAAGGGAGCCCUUUUAUAGAAUAAGGGUUUCCUCCCCUCUUACAUGAAUCAUGGGCUAAGUAAUGAAGCUUAAAUACUGAGGCCCAAUAUAUGGUACAACAAUAUGCAAAACAAACCAGUGUAUUUGAUCAUUAUACCUCACUCGAAUUGUCUGAUAUAUCAAGCAUGCUUAUUGCUUGAAGGGUCCUUAAGCAUGUGAUCCAACCCAAAGCUAAAUGACGAUUUUUGGAAAUUACAGUCAAAUUAGUCACACAUACUCUCAUAAUAGUUGAAUGGGGAUGAAAAAGGAAGUCACAAAUAAGCCCAGAACGUUGUAGCUAACCUAUGAUUUAUGAGAUUAAGCUUAAGAAAAUUCUCUGAAGACACAAUUAAGUGUUAUUUUAUGUACUUGCCAGCAAGUUUGGGAAGUGCACGCCAGUUCAUAUGACCAUCCUUAGUUUUCCUUUUAAUUGUCUUCUUCAGGAUUCCAUGCUCCUUUCUUUUGUCCAUUUUUGUCACAGAAGGGCGCUCUCACCAUCCUGUAGACUCCUCUCUCGCUAGCCAUCUCUGAAAUCAAGUUUUUUUUUUUUUUUUUUUUUUUUUUUUUUUCCUAGGUGAUCAAAAUAACACUCUAGCAGUAUUUAUAGUUUACACACACACACACACAUACACACAUGAUUAGAGUGAACAUGUGGUGACAUAAAGCCUCAUGUGAAACGGGAAGAAGAGGUCACAAUAGCUACAGAGCAAUCUUUUUAUCAUUAAUUGUUAGAAGUGUGCUAAUUUUACUGAAGAUUAUAAGUGCUUUUCUUGGUGAAUUUUUUAAGAACUUUUUGAUGAUUAUGCAUAGCUCCACAAUGUGCUUCCUUGGCAACAUGAUGGCUUUUUAACAAUAAGGUUUAAUUUCACAAUGAACUUUAUAGGCUAAUGGUACUUCUCUUUGCACACAAAAAAAAUCUCCUCACCUAUAUCAUUAUUUUGGGCUAACUAUAAUUUACACUCUAUAAAGCAAAACUUCAAAAUGGGCCAUAAAAUUCUAAUUUUCUCACAUUACGUACAUUCUAUAAUUUUGAAAUUAUAUAUUAAUUUACACUUUUUAUCUCUUAGAAUAUCUAAUCCUCCUGUAAAUUGAUGAGUUUUAUUUGUCAAUAUUGGGCAAAUGUUGCAUGUAUGUUAGCGCUCAUAUAAGGCUCCUACUAAUUUAAUGAAGGAUCAAACAAUCAAUCUAACAAGGGUUUUUAUCACAAAUGGUCCUUGAAAUUGACCCUCACCAUCAAGAUGGUCCUUAAAAUUGAAAAUCAAUCAAUGUAGUCCCUAAAAAUAAGUGUCGCAAAUCAAUGUGGUCCUUCUGUCACAAGUCUUUUAAAAAUUACAUUAAGUGCUGAUGUGGUACAUAAAUGGGCCCCACAAGAUUCACGGGUUUUUAUCACAAAUUGACACGCCCCAACCCCGAUGUCCUCGGGACAUCGGGAUGGUCACUUGCUGGCCGACACCCCAAGGGUGAUGAAAGCCAUUUAAUUUAAGCAAAAGCUAAGAAAUAUGCUAAAAUAGGCAAUAGGGACUAAUAACACAAUACUAAAGUUCAACUGCUAGUUAAUAAAUAUUAAGAUAACACCAUAUGUUCAGAGCAUACGUCUAAUACAGAGUACAAGCGGAAUUUAAGACAGAGAAGUGUUAUUACAAUAGGUGCCCAAACAGAGACGAUAUAGCACGAAAUUACUGGUCGGGAAUUUCCUUGUAGCUCAGAUUGUAUUCCUUGUUAUAUGGUCCUGAAGGGGGCGCAAAACAAACGUGAGUGGACCAAGUUGAUAUAUAUAUAUAUAUAUAUAUAUAUAUAGAAUAAAACAGUUAUCAACAUACUAACCUCCAGGUUUUAUGAAAACACAUAUAUAAUGAUAAACAUAGGUUUUCCAAAACCUAGCAUGCCGUGCAAUGUCUCAAAUCAUAACUUGUAUAUAUAAUAAUCACUAGUGAAUUGUCCGAUAACCCCCAGGCCCUAUGCCAGCUCCCCGUCCCUGUGCUAAAUAGCCAAAGGAAACACACUCCAAGCCCCAUGCUAACACCAAACCGUCGCUCGGGACGGACCAUAAUCUAUCCCUACGUCCCGUAACGGAAAAGACCACUAGGUAAGUACAAAACCAUUGAACAUAUAUAUAUUGAAAAGCAAUUUCAUAGUAUAAAGUCAUCCAUCAUCUAUACUAUAAAGAGGUGUUCGAAACAUGUUCUAAAUAUCAUAUCGUCAUCCAUCGGAUAUUCUAUAAGAACAUGGGUUAUAGGAAAAAUAGUAAUAAUUCAAACUAGUCUCAGUAAACAUGUUAUCUCAUAAAACAUUUCAUAAAAUGUAAUCAUUAAAUCAUGCUUUUCAUGUAUACAUUUCUACUGUUAAAACAUGCAUUUUUAGAAGGGGUCCACUCACCGUACACCGUUGGUGCAAAGCCAUACCAAAAAGGAAUAACGGAAUCACCCCUAAUAAUCACACCUAUUCACAUAAAAGAGUACAUUUAGUCAAACUCUACUCAAACGAUUGAAUUUGGAAAAAUGGACUUAAAAAACGAGUCCAGGACAUCGAAAUUAGCCUAAGAGAGGUCCCGAACAAAAUCCCAAAAAGUCAACGAUCAAAGUCAACAUUGACAGUUGACCGUUGACCGAUCAAAGUCAAUGGUCAAAGUUAAAGUCAACUGUCAGAGUCAACCGUUUAGGGUUUGGGUAUUGGGUCCGGUUUGGGCCUUAGGGAUUUAGGUCAAAUGGGUUGGUUUGGUCUAUAGGGUUAGGGUUUUAGAUAAUUAGGUGGGCUAGUUCUUAGGGGUUUAUGAGGUCUCUGGGCUUGGGCCCAGACCUACACGGCCUGAGGGCCUAAUUAAAAGGGUUUAGGGUUUAGUCAACAUGCUAAGGGCUUUAAAUGAAAUGGCCCAAAGACCUUUUGGGUCUUAAGGAAUUUUAAAUAAAAAUAAAAGUAAAAACUGAAAGGGAAAUGGUUUUGGGCUGAAACAAAAUGGGCUUAAGGCCCAUGGGUUGAGGAAUGACCUAAAGGGCUUGGUGCGAACGGAGAAGAACGCCGGAGCUUCUACAGCUCCGGCCGACUGCAAAUGUACAUCUUAGGCUCCAAUCUAGGUAUCAAAAUGAAGCACAAGACGAGAGUAGUAUUUUUAUACCUUCCGUUUGCCGUGAAAUGGUCGGAGGUGUUCGAAAAGUUCAUCGACACCCACGGCCUGACCGGAGCUGGGUGUGCCUUCCCCUAAGCCGAUCUAGCUCUCCAACCUUGGAAAUAAUGAGAUACCGCUCAAAAAUCACAUCCAAGCAUCACACUAAAAUGGAGCGAGGAAGAUCCAAGGCUUACCUUGAUUUCAAAAGAAAAAGAGAACCUUGUCAGAGUUCAUUUUUCUGGGUUUCGUCGUC
Molecule: long non-coding RNA, 6513 nt
Filed under: Malus domestica (apple)
Lineage: Eukaryota; Viridiplantae; Streptophyta; Magnoliopsida; Rosales; Rosaceae
Description: long non-coding RNA (MDOM_LNC007987)
Source: RNAcentral